UUUGAAUGUUAAUAUUAGCCUGGGUAGUAAUAGUUAUGUUCUUGAAACCCAAAGAAUUUGGCGGUAUUUUAAUCCUUUCAGAGGAACCUGCCCCGUAAUCGACAGUCCACGAGAAGAACUACUUGUUUUUGUUUUCAGUUUGUAUACCUCCGUCAUCAGAGAAUCUUUUUAGAGAUAAAUUUUCUUGAAAUAAUAAAUAUAGGAUGUCAGGUCAAGGUGCAAUUUAUGGACAAGUGGAGGUGGGUUACAAUAAUAUUAUUUACACGGAUUGAUUAAUUUGUUAUAUCAUGAAGGUGGAUUUGAUAGUAAUAUUAAUUUUUUAUUAAUAUGAUUCUUGGCUCUAAAAUAUGC
Molecule: ribosomal RNA, 351 nt
Filed under: Gomphidia abbotti
Lineage: Eukaryota; Metazoa; Arthropoda; Insecta; Odonata; Gomphidae
Description: partial 12S ribosomal RNA
Source: RNAcentral